AAAUGAGAAAAUUACCAAAAUGCCCCUGAACUUUGGUAUCUCUACAAUUUAGCCAGGGUUGCCAGGUUAGAUCGGGUUGGAGGCCGUCAGAGAUAUUAUCACAUUGUCAAGUCUACGCUAUCGGCGUAAGUAAAUCUUAGUGUUUCGAGUCUAUGGCAUGUAUAGGGUUGUAAAGUUGAGUAAGUAAAUGAUACAAGACUAAGAUAUUGGUAAAUAUUUAAUAAUGCCUCAUGAAUAUUUUGGGCCUUGUAAGCCCGAUUAAAGGAUAAUAUACGUGUGUAUGAAAAGUUUAAAAUUGAUCAAAAA
Molecule: long non-coding RNA, 306 nt
Organism: Gossypium arboreum
Lineage: Eukaryota; Viridiplantae; Streptophyta; Magnoliopsida; Malvales; Malvaceae
Exons: 2
Source: RefSeq, a predicted model, not a curated record